UAAACGGUCCUUUUAAGGACCAUCAAAUCUUUAAAAGGGAGUCUAA
Molecule: non-coding RNA, 46 nt
Filed under: Mytilus galloprovincialis (Mediterranean mussel)
Lineage: Eukaryota; Metazoa; Mollusca; Bivalvia; Mytilida; Mytilidae
Rfam family: Histone 3' UTR stem-loop
About the family: The mRNAs of metazoan histone genes lack a poly-A tail. 3' end processing occurs at a site between a highly conserved stem-loop (modelled by this family) and a purine rich region around 20 nts downstream (the histone downstream element, or HDE).
Source: RNAcentral